Long non-coding RNA from Pangasianodon hypophthalmus (striped catfish), 1449 nucleotides. RefSeq lists it as uncharacterized. Lineage: Eukaryota; Metazoa; Chordata; Actinopteri; Siluriformes; Pangasiidae. The record is from RefSeq and is a predicted model, not a curated record. The transcript has 3 exons.
GCCACAAAUUCCUCUGUGCGAGAAGAGAGGGGAAGUGUGCGAACACAAGGGGCUCUUACGAAAAAUAAACAACAAACCCGGAACAAUUUAGUUGCCUGGAAUUACUUUCGCCUGGGUAUACGCAACAACCAGGAAAACACACACGCUCACACACACACGUGCAGCAAUUUGGACACUUUCUUCACCGCAAACAGAAUGAAAAACCUCCUUUGCCAAUGACUGACUGACACGACUGCUCAGCGCUGUCACUUGUGACUACUCAAUUACUCAUCCCCAACCCUAAUUUCAACUCGGCAAAGCCAGUUCUUCCAAUCAAAGAGCAAGGAGAGAUUAAUUUCAGACAUCAGGAGAGAUGAUAAUGACCUCAACCUGGACCAUCAUCAAAACUGCCACAAGUGAGCUCGCCCUGGCCUGCACUUCACCUCAGAGUGUGUGUGUAUGUGUGUGUGUGUGUGUGUGUGUGUGUGUGUAUAUGAGUGUGAGACAUGCAGCUUCUGCACAGAAGGUUCUUCAUCUGACAGCUCCCCAUCUGUUCUUCUGUGUCUGUCUCUCUCCAUCUCUGUCUGUCUUUCUGCUUGUGUAUUACAGUUCCAACUCACACAGCGACAAUUUCAAGGACACAAACACAACCUUCACACACAUAUACACACACACACACACACACACACAACACAUACUACUGAUUUAUAAGUACUGUUUAAUAUUACUUUUUUAAACUGCACUACUAUAUAUUACUACUGUAUUACUAUUGUUUAUAUGAUUCUCAUUUUCUUCAAAAGUAUAUUUAUAUUUUAUAUAUUUUUAUAUUUUAGAUAUUUUUAAAUUAUAUAUUUUUGUACAAUUGAUAUAACCAGUAGCAAUAUUUAACAAGUGUAGUAUUGUGUACUGUGAUGCAAUUUAUCAGUUUGUUCAAGUUUUUGAUUUGAUUUGAAUACAAUGCUAAAAAAAAACCCAUUCUGCGUAUAAUACAGUGUUAGGUGCUGAGGAGACCACAGCGAAGCUGACGUGUGUAAGAGUGUAAGCAGCGCCACAUCGCUUCCGGCAUUAUGACUCAUGGGAGGAUUCGUUUUUAUGACUCGAGUCAGCGUUUUGCAGCACAAAGCCUUAAAUCACAUGCACACACACCUUUUUACAGAAAAAGGAGAGAAAAGCGGUUAGUUUUGAAGGUUUAUUGGAGUUCGGAUGGCGAGCAUGUCAGCCCGCGUUUACUAGUCGGAAAAAAACCUGGUCAUAGGCAGAUAUUAAUGCAGGAGCAGAUGGCAGAGUUUACAUAGCACAGAUACAUCUCUCCACUCCUCCUCCUCCUCCUUCUCUCUCUCUCUCUCUCUCUCUCUCUCUCUCUCAUACUGCUUCAAUCUUGAGAACAUUUUCACACACGUCUUUUACAGGAACAGCAAGAAACUGGCGAAGACAAAAACUGCAUGAACGGAACCAACAGAGAGAAUCACG